GAACGAACGCUGGCGGCAGGCUUAACACAUGCAAGUCGAGCGCAUCCUUCGGGGUGAGCGGCGGACGGGUGAGUAACGCGUGGGAACGUGCCCUCUUCUACGGAAUAGCCUCGGGAAACUGAGAGUAAUGCCGUAUACGCCCGCAAGGGGAAAGAUUUAUCGGAGGAGGAUCGGCCCGCGUUGGAUUAGGUAGUUGGUGGGGUAACGGCCUACCAAGCCGACGAUCCAUAGCUGGUUUGAGAGGAUGAUCAGCCACACUGGGACUGAGACACGGCCCAGACUCCUACGGGAGGCAGCAGUGGGGAAUCUUGGACAAUGGGGGCAACCCUGAUCCAGCCAUGCCGCGUGAUCGAUGAAGGCCUUAGGGUUGUAAAGAUCUUUCAGCUGGGAAGAUAAUGACGGUACCAGCAGAAGAAGCCCCGGCUAACUCCGUG
RNAcentral lists this ribosomal RNA (434 nucleotides) under uncultured bacterium. RNAcentral's name for it is "partial 16S ribosomal RNA". It matches the Rfam family "Bacterial small subunit ribosomal RNA", at positions 27 to 507 of the family's 1533-position model. The record is from RNAcentral.